GAAGCUGCCUCUGGUCGUGGU
This 21-nucleotide microRNA is filed under the name Lotus japonicus. Its description in RNAcentral is "lja-miR7532a". The record is from miRBase by way of RNAcentral. Lineage: Eukaryota; Viridiplantae; Streptophyta; Magnoliopsida; Fabales; Fabaceae.